GAGUCAGUUAGGUGGUCGGCCCACUUGGCGGCUGGGUGCCUUAAAAAGGAAGGGGUAGGAUCCGGCGUGUUGGGACACCAUCGCUCGCGUGUUGGAGAUCGAGAGAAGGAAACCCUAGCCGCCGUCGUCCAGAUCUGCUUGGCUUGGUGGAGGGUAUGGCUAUGGCGCUGCGCACCAUGGCCGCCAAGCUGAAGCAGAAGAUCCCCGCCGCUGUCCAGCGGGUUCGCGUCUCUUCUCGUGCUCCGGCACCUGCUGAUGCUGACUUCGACCGCUUCGGCUUCGGCCCAGAGUUUCGCCGGGCACUGGACAAGAUUGUAGAGAAACACAGGAAGAGGCGCAGGGA
Molecule: long non-coding RNA, 343 nt
Organism: Triticum aestivum (bread wheat)
Lineage: Eukaryota; Viridiplantae; Streptophyta; Magnoliopsida; Poales; Poaceae
Exons: 3
Source: RefSeq, a predicted model, not a curated record